GUGACUGCGUACCUUUUGUAUAAUGGGUCAGCGACUUAUAUUUAGUAGCAAGGUUAACCGAAUAGGGGAGCCGUAGCGAAAGCGAGUGUUAACUGCGCGUUUAGUUGCUAGGUAUAGACCCGAAACCGAGUGAUCUAGCCAUGGGCAGGUUGAAGGUUGAGUAACAUCAACUGGAGGACCGAACCGACUAACUUUGAAAAGUUAGCGGAUGACUUGUGGCUGGGGGUGAAAGGCCAAUCAAACCGGGAGAUAGCUGGUUCUCCCCGAAAUCUAUUUAGGUAGAGCCUCGGACGAAUUCCAUUGGGGGUAGAGCACUGUUAAGGCUAGGGGGUCAUCCCGACUUACCAACCCUUUGCAAACUCCGAAU
Molecule: ribosomal RNA, 367 nt
Filed under: Pseudopedinella elastica
Lineage: Eukaryota; Dictyochophyceae; Pedinellales
Description: partial Bacterial large subunit ribosomal RNA
Rfam family: Bacterial large subunit ribosomal RNA
Source: RNAcentral